Paramarasmius palmivorus is the source of this 90-nucleotide non-coding RNA. NCBI's taxonomy places the organism in Eukaryota, Fungi, Basidiomycota, Agaricomycetes, Agaricales, Marasmiaceae. The record is from the annotation of a GenBank genome assembly.
GCCGGCUUAGCACAGUGGUAGUGCGUCGCACUUGUAGCAGCCCUUUGUUGCGCAAUGCGAAGGUCGGUUGUUCAAUCCAGCCAGUCGGCA